Non-coding RNA from Camellia sinensis, 1332 nucleotides. The record is from RefSeq and is a predicted model, not a curated record. NCBI's taxonomy places the organism in Eukaryota, Viridiplantae, Streptophyta, Magnoliopsida, Ericales, Theaceae.
UUUGUGCAGAGAAGGAUCAAGAAUUGGGGGAAGCCUUAGAGAGAAGGCAGUUGAAGAGUUUCUGUUCUAUAUGUAUUCUCUCUUCUGUUUAAUUGCCAUUCUAUAUAUUUUUUUAAUAUAAAUAAAUGCUAGUCUGAAUUCAUCUGAAUGUGUCUGCCCAUCUGUUCUGAUAGAAAAAGUGCUUAUUAGAAAACUUGAGUUAUGUUCUUGUAGCAUGGAUACAUUUUCUAAAGAAGUGCUUUUAGAAAACUCAAAUCUAUUUUUCGCAUCAUGAUGUUUCAAUUUUCCUGGUUAAAUCAGCAUGGUGAAAACACUAGUUGAUUUGCAUGGUAAUGAGGCUGGAAAAGGUGGAGAACUCACACAUGAUGAGACAACAAUUAUUGCUGGAGCACUUGGGCUUACUGAGAAAACAGCCAGUGAUGCCAUGACUCCCAUAUCUGACACUUUUGCUGUUGAUAUCAAUGCCAAGCUUGACAGGUGUUGCAUGCUUUGGAAAACUUUUGAAUAGAAGCAAAUCACAGGCACAUUGUUAGAUCUCCAGUUCUAAUGCGGGAAUUGUGGCUUGAGAUGUGGCAUGAUAACUAUCCUGAUUCAAAAUCAAAAUUUGUUACAAAAGGUGGAUCUCUUCUUUCUUAGUUCUUUUUGUUUCAUUAAAUUGUUUUACCUCUUAAAUUUUACAUGGAACAGCUAAGCGUGACCUUUGAGGGAAGAUGACUGUUAUUGGGAUUAUGGAAAAGUUCGUUGUGCAUGGCCUGAGCAUUGUGAAUAUAGGUAUUUUUCUUACAUGUUUUUUAAUUAUUUUUUCGAAUAUUGUGGUCAUCAGUUUCCCUUAUUGCAUUAUGUACAGAUACGUUUUAUUUUGUGAAAGGGCUCCUAAAUUUUCUACUUUCAUUUGAAGAAAACUGUGAAGAGUUAUCUUACACAACAUCAAGUCAACAUUCACAAGGACCCAUAAUUAAUAUAUAUAUAUUCAAUGCUAAGAAAUGUUGACAACAGAUGAUGUUGAUAGCGCACUCAGCUUAAGAAAUGUUGAGGGAACAACCAGGAUUCUUCAGUUUUGGCUCAAUCUUCACAAGUAGAAACAAGAACGAUUAAAUUACAAUCAAUUUGCAAUUUAAGUGAUUAUUUCUUAUCGGAACGACUAAAUUACAAUCGAGGUGUCCUACCUCAAUUUGCUACAUGCUGAACUUUUGCUGUAGUGUUUCGAUUUCAAUGGUUCAUAUGAAGAAGGGGCUCAUGGUAAAGAGGUGGUAGCUGUUGGUGCUGCUUGUGCUUUCUUGCAUGUGACUUUUAACAUUUUACCCCUUGAGCGUGUUAUGACUGUACUAGCUU